Long non-coding RNA from Daphnia pulicaria, 4717 nucleotides. RefSeq lists it as uncharacterized. NCBI's taxonomy places the organism in Eukaryota, Metazoa, Arthropoda, Branchiopoda, Diplostraca, Daphniidae. The transcript has 3 exons. The record is from RefSeq and is a predicted model, not a curated record.
CCAUAUUUAAUUUUAAAAAUAAAAUAAAAAAUCAGUGUAAUUUUACUCGGUCCAAAAAUUUUGUUUAAAAAUGCUUACUUUUAACUGAAAUAGAACACGUUAAGGACUUUCGUUAGCUCUUUGAUGCCCUUGUUGAUCUUGAAAAUCAUUGAUUCUCUAUGUCACCUUAAUUCUUGUUGUAAGGUCUGUAGCUGUUCUUUCAUCAUCUCCGUGUGGAUGUAGGGGGGGGGAGGGGCGUUUUUCAGCUGGCCGUGGGCGAUUCUUUUGAAGGGUUCUCUGACAGUUAUGCCUUCCACGUAGGCCAUUUUGUAAGUUUUUUUUUCAGGAAGGCUGGCGAGUCGUUGCUGUGUGUUUCGUGUGACUUGUUUUCAUAGUUUACGCAUCUCGUGGUAUAUUCCUGUUCUUUGUGGUGUGGUGUGCCCCAUUUAUUGGAUUUGUUGUGAGGGAGGGGAUUCACAUCUUGGUGUGGUGUGGACUAACCGCCAGCAUUUGUGACACCUUUAUGAGUUGGGUACAUACAUUUGUACACAAGAACACCAUCUUGACUCGUUCGGGUAAGAUGCAUUCGAACGUUAGCAGCACCAGGGGGAGGUACUUUACGUGUGUGACAAUUUGGUUAGCUAGUGCUUCCAGAAAGUCUUUAGUUGUAUGUUAAAGUAUUUUAUAAUUUCAUCUAUAUAAUAGGUCUCCUCUCCUUGUCUAAAGUAAAAGGGCUUUUAUCUCGCUUUUUUAGUUCUUUUAAGACCGUUUCAGCGGAUUUGGACAUAGCUUUACUCUGUUUAUGUGGGUUGUAUUACAUCAGCAUCUUUAAGCCACAAAACCCUAUCUGCCUUGGUGGUUAAAGUGUGAUUGUGGGUUAUGACUACAAAAAUUGUUUGAAAACCUUAGACCAUUCGGAAAAAAAGAUCGUGUUACCGGGAUGCAUUUUUGGCAUCCGAGCUACCACUCGGUUCAUCGGAAAAAACAAUAGCCGGAUUAUUUAUCAAUGCCCGAGCUACAGCUAUACGUUGGAGUUCUCCCCCAGACACAUCGGCUGGAAAACGAUGAUUCAGGUGGUGCAACCCAAGUAAAGUCAAUAUUUCACCUGCUUUUUGGUCUACUUCCUUUUUAUGGAAAUUGCCCAGAUAACAAGGCAGACAAACAUUUUCAAAAAGGGUAAAUUCUGGCAACAAGUUAUGAAAUUGAAAUACAAAACCUAUUUUCCUAAAUUUAGCCAACGCCUACCUUUUAGCUGGGUUACCUCUAUACCUUCAUAUACUAUGGAGCCACUAUCUGGCUGAUCCAAGGUAGACAACAGAUAUAGCAACGUAGUCUUUCCAGCACCAGAAGGCCCUACAAUGGCGACCAUUUCUCCUGGUUGUAUGAUCAUACGUUUUACAUAUGUCCUUAGCAAUAGGCAUAUGGUUGAUUUUCAUACUGCAAUUGGGUACAUAAGGUCAAGAAAAGGUUUAUAUAUAGCACCAAGUUACUAAAUUUUGUCUAGAAUAGGCUUUAGGUUUAAGUUUACAUAAAAAAGCCAUUGAAGUAAAAAAUGAUGCAACGGCCUUAAUCAUCUAACCCUAUCUAUAACUGGCUGCUUAAGGCUUCUUUUAAUGCUUAAGUUUAUGCCUUUUAAUACAUGGAGAAACACCACUAGAUGAACCAUCUGAAUCAGUUUGCCUGCUUAUACAGGUACAUCUCAUAAAAUAGUUAUCAAUCCUAGAUCCAAUUCUUUUACAUCUAGCUGAUCCCCAUCUUUUAAAUGCAGAUUUCUUUUUAGGCACAACAGGUUCAACAUAGUGAACGCUGAUUUUUUAAGAUUCCUCUAUCGGCAUGUUUUGGCUUGAUAUAGACCCAUUGUGUAGGCACACUCCCAUCUGAACCCGCAUAAAAGGUAACCUGCUGCGUACAAUUUGCAUAAUAUAAAUAAACAGCAGGUACCUCCGAUACCCUCAACCCUGCACACCAAAUCCUGUUGAGCUGGACCGGAGAUAGAUAUGCUUCUAGGCCAUCCAUAACCUCCUGUUCAUCAGCAAACAUGGGUUUUGGAUUUGGACUUUCCACCAUAUAAUAAAAGAUCAAGUUAAGCGAAUCAUCUUUAAUCGAAGUUUGAUGCAUGAAAGCAAUAUGUAAAUGAUCCGCAGGAAACUUCGAUACCAAAGGCUUCCGCAUCAGAUUCCAUUCCUCCUGGUUUGGAAUCGGCAAUACAUCUUGUUCUAUGCUACCUGUAAACACCUUCAUUUUUUCAAAAAACACUACCUUUCCACCAACCAUCUCAGCUGAUAAAGACAUAUAGGCCGAUGAUUAUAGGGAAUUUCUAGGGGAAGGCUACUGCUUGUAUAAUUAAACAAUGGAUGCUCACUUGUAAGAAAAGAAAAAAAUGAUCCCGGGUAAUUUUUUCAUACUUUCUUCCGUGAAUUGGCUUGUAUCUAUAAUAAGCUGAUUCAGAUCACCUUGCGCUAGACGGGCCAGUACAAUACUUUUUCUAGUAGCACGUGCUAGACCAAUCCCCCUUUUCAAUCUUGCAUACAGUUGCAUGGACGUUUCUACAUCUGUGAAAUCUACGAUAACAGCAUCUCCCAAUCUAUGGCUACUUGUGGAUGUUUUACUAUAAUGGCUAACAGGUAAAAGGUAGUAAAACAGGUAUAGGUAGGACGGUUUUAAUUUGCACUUGAUUUGUUGGAUCUGAAACAAGCACUGGUUUAUGCUGAGUACGCACACUGGAACCAGAAUCAGAACCCGAACCAUUCAUCCCGAACCAUUCAUACCAGAUCAUUUGGCACAGCUAAAUCUGAAUUUUCUAGAUUGAAUAUCGCAUCUUCGAAAACUUCGGAAAUUGUUGUUCAUAAUUCAACGCAAUAAAAGGUAAGUUGAUGUCAAAAACUGAAAAAGAAUGAAUCACAAUAGAACGAGGAUGCAGUUCAGGUCUAUCGCCUUUUCUAGCCAAUGCAUAAGCUCUUGCUCCUUUCACCUUAACAGCUAAAUAGAUUGGGGGUAUCUGCGCUAUAGUGACCAUAAUAGAAGCUGCUGCAACCUCUACCAUGCUUCUAUCAAUUGGGCUAUAGCUACAGUGGCUAUCAAAAGGCGUCUCUAAAUCCAUAGAGAAAGUGGUCUUAACCAGUACAAUAUGGUCGGUAUAUAUAGACCUUAUUGAGUUCCUGAUGGACGUGAUGGCUACUAAUUUAUUUAGUAGCCCUGUCGAUAAAAAGCAACAGUAAGCCUGAGGCCAAAGGAUAUAAUGUACCUACAUGACCUAUCUUUUUUAGCUUUAACAGAGAACGGACCUUUUAUACUACAUCAAAAGAAGUACAAUCCGGUGGCUUAUAGACCAUAAGAAUAGCAUCUGAGUAGGCCUCCUGAUGCAACCAGCUCAACGGGACUAAUUCUUUUGCGAUUGACCAUAGUUGGUUACCAUAUACCAUGAAUAUUGAGCAGAAAUUUCACUACCUGUAGUCGAUAAAGCAACGACGCAAUAUGCAGGUAGGUAGGCUAUUGUCAUAUUAUCCCUAUAGUUGAUAUCUAUUUGUUUAGAUUGGAUAAACAAAUCCAUUACAUCCAAAUGACCUUGUAAUAAGGCAUAAUGCAAAAGCGUAUACCAUUGCUGAUCAACAACAUCAAUCCGGGCUUAUAAAGAAGCGAUUUCAAUUAGUUUUACCAAUUUUGUAUACCCUUCCCUAGAAGCCAUAUGCAGCAGUGAACAUUUCAAAUAGUUUUCAUGUUCUUUAUAAAUCAGUUGCUCAUUAGGGUCACUCCUAGGAAAUAUUUGACAACAACUGCCACAUUGUUGAUUGGGUUGUGCAUCCAUUCUUUUAUAAACAGAUGAUGGAACGGCAGAACAAUCCUCUUGUACAUUGAAAGGUGGAGAAUUUAUUUUAGAAAUAGUUCUUACAAGAGGCCACCAAAAAAGGAUGGAACAAACCAGACGGGGAUUAUCUAACGGGAACAAAUUUUGCAAAUUACCCGUCCAGGAAACACUACAACCGGGGGGGGGGGGUUUACCCCCACGUUGCUCAAGUAGAAUUAGACAAACUCAUCACAAAAAACAAGUGAAAAAAAAGAGUAUACGUAUCCCAAAGGAUACCAACAUGCAUGUACACUGCUGGUGUUCCUCCAAAAUGGAUUAAGUAUGUUCAAAUAUUUUUUUUAAAUUUAUUUUUACAUUUUUGGUAUUCAUAUCUUAUUUUUAUUUUACGGAAUACAACAUCACCAUCAUAAAUUCGAUAAAGGACUACGAAGUCACAGUUGAUUAUAUGAAACUGUUUGAAACCCUCUAUCGUAGCGAAAAAGUUACUGGAUACAUUUUCCGCCAAAAGGAAGAAAUUCCAGUUGUUGCUGAGCAGCUACCUGUCAGUUCUUUCACAGCAACAAAUGGUGUUGAAUAUUCAAGUAGCGACGUACGCUACAAGAACCGACCAAUGGAGGGAUAUGUAGUGUUUUUUUAAGGCGCCACAGACAAAAUGGAAAGUUUCAAGAAAUCGGCCGAGUCAGAAGAGGCAAGAAAAAAAGAAGAAGAGAAGAAAAAGAUGGAAAUCAAUGAUUUAAGGCAGCAGUUUGAUCUUUUGGGAGUUCAACAGUCCAAAAUCAAAAGUGAGAUGGCGAUACUUCAAGAAGAGAAGAUGAAAUCUGUUGCGUUGUCCAAAUUGAAUUAGACAAGAUCAUCAAGAAAAAAUUCUGGGUUAAAAAAGAGUAUACUUAUCCUAAGAGAAAUGAGUAUGCUUGUACAUUGCUGGUGUAUUUA